Molecule: non-coding RNA, 70 nt
Organism: Momordica charantia (bitter melon)
Lineage: Eukaryota; Viridiplantae; Streptophyta; Magnoliopsida; Cucurbitales; Cucurbitaceae
Source: RefSeq, a predicted model, not a curated record
CACACUCAUGUUCUUCUCGCUUCUCUUGGUCAUGUUUGCGAGUACCACAGAGUCCAGAAAAGAAUUGAAA